Molecule: ribosomal RNA, 447 nt
Filed under: uncultured bacterium
Lineage: Bacteria
Description: partial 16S ribosomal RNA
Rfam family: Bacterial small subunit ribosomal RNA
Source: RNAcentral
AGCGAACGCUGGCGGCAGGCUUAACACAUGCAAGUUGAACGCCCCGCAAGGGGAGUGGCAGACGGGUGAGUAACACGUGGGAACGUACCCUUUGGUUCGGAAUAACUUGGGGAAACUCAAGCUAAUACCGGAUAAGCCCUUAUGGGGAAAGGUUUACUGCCGAAGGAUCGGCCCGCGUCUGAUUAGCUAGUUGGUGAGGUAAUAGCUCACCAAGGCGACGAUCAGUAGCUGGUCUGAGAGGAUGAUCAGCCACACUGGGACUGAGACACGGCCCAGACUCCUACGGGAGGCAGCAGUGGGGAAUAUUGGACAAUGGGGGCAACCCUGAUCCAGCCAUGCCGCGUGAGUGAUGAAGGCCUUAGGGUUGUAAAGCUCUUUUACCCGGGACGAUAAUGACUGUACCGGGAGAAUAAGCCCCGGCUAACUUCGUGCCAGCAGCCGCCGUAA